UACGUAGGGGGCAAGCGUUGUCCGGAAUCAUUGGGCGUAAAGAGCGCGUAGGCGGUCCGAUAAGUCCGCUCUGAAAGUCCGGGGCUCAACCCCGGGAGGCGGGCGGAUACUGUCGGGCUAGAGUCCGGAAGAGGCGAGUGGAAUUCCUGGUGUAGCGGUGAAAUGCGCAGAUAUCAGGAGGAACACCGAUGGCGAAGGCAGCUCGCUGGGACGGUACUGACGCUGAGGCGCGAAAGCGUGGGGAGCAAACAGG
RNAcentral lists this ribosomal RNA (253 nucleotides) under uncultured bacterium. RNAcentral describes it as "partial 16S ribosomal RNA". It matches the Rfam family "Bacterial small subunit ribosomal RNA", at positions 524 to 776 of the family's 1533-position model. The record is from RNAcentral.